This 378-nucleotide unclassified non-coding RNA is filed under the name uncultured bacterium. Its description in RNAcentral is "contains 16S-23S intergenic spacer region". The record is from RNAcentral.
UCCGGCUUAACGCCGGCAGUCCCCCUAGAGUGCCCAACUGAAUGGUGGCAACUAAGGGCAAGGGUUGCGCUCGUUGCGGGACUUAACCCAACACCUCACGGCACGAGCUGACGACAGCCAUGCAGCACCUGAACCGGCAGUCCCCGAAGGGAAGGCCCUAUUUCUAGGGCGGUCCGCCACAGUUCAAGCCCAGGUAAGGUUCUUCGCGUUGCGUCGAAUUAAACCACAUGCUCCACCGCUUGUGCGGGCCCCCGUCAAUUCCUUUGAGUUUCAGCCUUGCGGCCGUACUCCCCGGCGGGGCACUUCAUGCGUUUGCGUCGGCCCCCCGGGGGUCGCUCCCCCAGAGACCUAGUGCCCAUCGUUUACGGCGUGGACUAC